Molecule: ribosomal RNA, 450 nt
Filed under: uncultured bacterium
Lineage: Bacteria
Description: partial 16S ribosomal RNA
Rfam family: Bacterial small subunit ribosomal RNA
Source: RNAcentral
GUGGGGAAUAUUGGACAAUGGGCGAAAGCCUGAUCCAGCCAUGCCGCGUGUGUGAAGAAGGUCUUCGGAUUGUAAAGCACUUUAAGUUGGGAGGAAGGGCAGUAAGUUAAUACCUUGCUGUUUUGACGUUACCGACAGAAUAAGCACCGGCUAACUUCGUGCCAGCAGCCGCGGUAAUACGAAGGGUGCAAGCGUUAAUCGGAAUUACUGGGCGUAAAGCGCGCGUAGGUGGUUUUGUAAGUUGGAGGUGAAAGCCCCGGGAUCAACCUGGGAACUGCCUCCAAAACUGCAUGACUAGAGUACGGUAGAGGGUAGUGGAAUUUCCUGUGUAGCGGUGAAAUGCGUAGAUAUAGGGAGGAACACCAGUGGCGAAGGCGACUACCUGGACUGAUACUGACGCUGAGGUGCGAAAGCGUGGGGAGCAAACAGGAUUAGAAACCCGGGUAGUCC